UACGUAGGGAGCAAGCGUUGUCCGGAUUCACUGGGUGUAAAGGGUGCGUAGGCGGGAGAGUAAGUCAGUGGUGAAAUCUCACGGCUCAACCGUGAAACUGCCGUUGAUACUGCUUUUCUUGAGUUCGGGAGAGGUUGAUGGAAUUCCAGGUGUAGCGGUGAAAUGCGUAGAUAUCUGGAAGAACACCAGUGGCGAAGGCGGUCAACUGGCCCGAGACUGACGCUGAGGCACGAAAGCGUGGGGAGCGAAC
Molecule: ribosomal RNA, 250 nt
Filed under: uncultured bacterium
Lineage: Bacteria
Description: partial 16S ribosomal RNA
Rfam family: Bacterial small subunit ribosomal RNA
Source: RNAcentral